Molecule: unclassified non-coding RNA, 222 nt
Filed under: uncultured Thelephoraceae
Lineage: Eukaryota; Fungi; Basidiomycota; Agaricomycetes; Thelephorales; Thelephoraceae
Description: sequence contains ITS2
Source: RNAcentral
ACACCUCAACCCUCGUGGUUUGCCACGACCGGCUUGGACUUUGGAGGUUUUGCUGGCCCCUGUGGUCAGCUCCUCUCAAAUGAAUCAGCUUACCAGUGUUUGGUGGCGUCGCAGGUGUGAUAACUAUCUACGCUUGCGGCCGUCUGCCACGUAACCUUCAGUGAUGAGGGUUCGCUGGGGCUCACAGAUGUCUCUCCUGAGUGAAGACAGCUUUUUGAUCGU